CCUGCCUAACCAUAAGAGGUCAAGCCUGCCCAGUGACAUUGUUCAACGGCCGCGGUAUCCUAACCGUGCGAAGGUAGCGUAAUCACUUGUUCUUUAAAUGAGGACUAGUAUGAACGGCUUCACGAAAGCUAUACUGUCUCCUUUAUCUAAUCAGUGAAACUAAUCUCCCCGUGAAGAAGCGGGGAUCCCCCUAUAAGACGAGAAGACCCUGUGGAGCUUUAAACACCUUAAAACAUUUGUAUUUCCUUACUUAACUUUACUAAACCCAUCAUUUUGUUUUAAGUUUUAGGUUGGGGUGACCACGGAGAACAACUUAACCUCCACAUAGAAAAAGCCUUCUUUUUAAGCAAAAAGUUACACCUUGAUGCAUCAAUACAUUGACUUAAAUUGACCCAAUUAUUUGAUCAAUGAAC
RNAcentral lists this ribosomal RNA (413 nucleotides) under Allobates ornatus. Its description in RNAcentral is "partial large subunit ribosomal RNA". It matches the Rfam family "Bacterial large subunit ribosomal RNA", at positions 1834 to 2457 of the family's 2925-position model. Lineage: Eukaryota; Metazoa; Chordata; Amphibia; Anura; Aromobatidae. The record is from RNAcentral.